AUUGAACGCUGGCGGCAGGCCUAACACAUGCAAGUCGAGCGGGGACUUCGGUCCUAGCGGCGAACGGGUGAGUAAUGCUUGGGAAUCUGCCCAGUAGUGGGGGAUAACGUCCCGAAAGGGACGCUAAUACCGCAUACGUCCUACGGGAGAAAGAGGGGGAUCUUCGGACCUCUCGCUAUUGGAUGAGCCCAAGUCGGAUUAGCUAGUUGGUAGGGUAAUGGCCUACCAAGGCGACGAUCCGUAGCUGGUCUGAGAGGAUGAUCAGCCACACUGGAACUGAGGCACGGUCCCGACUCCUACGGGAGGCAGCAGUGGGGAAUAUUGGACAAUGGGCGAAAGCCUUAUCCAGCCAUGCCGCGUGUGUGAAGGAGGCCUUCGGGUUUUAAAGCACUUUAAGCGGGGAGGAAGGUUCGCGGCCUAAUACGUCGCGGAAUUGACGUUACCCGCAGAAUAAGCACCGGCUAACUCUGUG
This 472-nucleotide ribosomal RNA is filed under the name uncultured bacterium. Its description in RNAcentral is "partial 16S ribosomal RNA". It matches the Rfam family "Bacterial small subunit ribosomal RNA", at positions 30 to 507 of the family's 1533-position model. The record is from RNAcentral.